Molecule: ribosomal RNA, 253 nt
Filed under: uncultured bacterium
Lineage: Bacteria
Description: partial 16S ribosomal RNA
Rfam family: Bacterial small subunit ribosomal RNA
Source: RNAcentral
UACGAAGGGGGCAAGCGUUGUUCGGAAUUACUGGGCGUAAAGGGCGCGCAGGCGGCCAAUCAAGUCAGGCGUGAAAGCCCCGGGCUCAACCUGGGAAUAGCGCUUGAGACUGGUAGGCUUGAGUUCGGGAGAGGUGAGUGGAAUUCCCAGUGUAGAGGUGAAAUUCGUAGAUAUUGGGAAGAACACCGGUGGCGAAGGCGGCUCACUGGACCGAUACUGACGCUGAGGCGCGAAAGCGUGGGGAGCAACCAGG